UAGCCUCUAGGCACCCUCAGUUGCUGGGGAAAUGCUUCGUCAGGCUGAAUCGUUUGCAUAGUCAGUUUUUCCGUGGAUUUUUUCUACUUAAAGGAUCUACCUAGAGUAGUCUGUCAAUGUUCUGCAGAGGUCUUGCGUAUUUGUUAUCUUAAGGCCUGUUCGGAGGCCCUCUGCUCCUCGACUCUGCUCACGGAGCUGCCGGGACCGUAGUUGAGAAUUACGGAGCGGACGAAUCGGUACUCCGCAGAUCUUUCUAUUUUGCGGAGCUGGUCGAGUGCCGAACGGGUUCUUACUAUGUCAUGUGCUCAUUAAACUUUUGCAAUGUGAAUGGAUUCUAAACCGGAGGUUGCUUCUACAACUGGGUUUCUCUCCACUAAGCCCGCUGUUAGAACUUUCUGAUGGCUUUGUCAUGUGCUUCCUUUUUGCUUUUGUUUGUUCGUUAGUUUGCUUGAGCCUCCAGGGAGGUGACUUUGCCAUGUUUUUAAGCCCGCUGUCAGAACUUUCUGAUGACUUGCCAUGUUUUUUACAAUCGAGCAGGACGCUUCUCAGCUGCUGAGAGACAUAAUUAACCUGAUUUCAAGCAUCGGGAGCAACCGGCACUACUGCACUCGGGCGUCUAUUUGACUAAAAAGAUUACUACUACCCCUGUUCCUAAAUGCAAAUGUUUU
RNAcentral lists this long non-coding RNA (668 nucleotides) under Triticum aestivum (bread wheat). RNAcentral describes it as "long non-coding RNA (TAES_LNC026032)". Lineage: Eukaryota; Viridiplantae; Streptophyta; Magnoliopsida; Poales; Poaceae. The record is from RNAcentral.